RNAcentral lists this ribosomal RNA (375 nucleotides) under uncultured cyanobacterium. Its description in RNAcentral is "bacterial SSU rRNA". It matches the Rfam family "Bacterial small subunit ribosomal RNA", at positions 405 to 795 of the family's 1533-position model. Lineage: Bacteria; Bacillati; Cyanobacteriota. The record is from RNAcentral.
GGGAGGAAGGCUCUUGGGUUGUAAACCUCUUUUCUCAGGGAAUAAGAACUGAAGGUACCUGAGGAAUCAGCAUCGGCUAACUCCGUGCCAGCAGCCGCGGUAAUACGGAGGAUGCAAGCGUUAUCCGGAAUGAUUGGGCGUAAAGCGUCCGCAGGUGGUUUAUCAAGUCUGCUGUCAAAGAGUUUGGCUCAACCAAAUAAAGGCAGUGGAAACUGACAGACUGGAGUGCGGUAAGGGCAGAGGGAAUUCCUGGUGUAGCGGUGAAAUGCGUAGAGAUCAGGAAGAACACCGGUGGCGAAAGCGCUCUGCUGGGCCGUAACUGACACUGAGGGACGAAGGCUAGGGGAGCGAAUGGGAUUAGAUACCCCAGUAGUC